RNAcentral lists this ribosomal RNA (449 nucleotides) under uncultured bacterium. RNAcentral's name for it is "partial 16S ribosomal RNA". It matches the Rfam family "Bacterial small subunit ribosomal RNA", at positions 29 to 523 of the family's 1533-position model. The record is from RNAcentral.
AGCGAACGCUGGCGACAGGCCUAACACAUGCAAGUCGAACGAACUCUUCGGAGUUAGUGGCGGACGGGUGAGUAACACGUGGGAACGUGCCUUUAGGUUCGGAAUAACUCAGGGAAACUUGUGCUAAUACCGAAUGUGCCCUUCGGGGGAAAGAUUUAUCGCCUUUAGAGCGGCCCGCGUCUGAUUAGCUAGUUGGUGAGGUAAAGGCUCACCAAGGCGACGAUCAGUAGCUGGUCUGAGAGGAUGAUCAGCCACAUUGGGACUGAGACACGGCCCAAACUCCUACGGGGGGCAGCAGUGGGGAAUCUUGCGCAAUGGGCGAAAGCCUGACGCAGCCAUGCCGCGUGAAUGAUGAAGGUCUUAGGAUUGUAAAAUUCUUUCACCGGGGACGAUAAUGACGGUACCCGGAGAAGAAGCCCCGGCUAACUUCGUGCCAGCCGCCGCCGUAA